Molecule: ribosomal RNA, 465 nt
Filed under: uncultured Klebsiella sp.
Lineage: Bacteria; Pseudomonadati; Pseudomonadota; Gammaproteobacteria; Enterobacterales; Enterobacteriaceae
Description: bacterial SSU rRNA
Rfam family: Bacterial small subunit ribosomal RNA
Source: RNAcentral
CCUACGGGAGGCUGCAGUGGGGAAUAUUGCACAAUGGGCGCAAGCCUGAUGCAGCCAUGCCGCGUGUGUGAAGAAGGCCUUCGGGUUGUAAAGCACUUUCAGCGGGGAGGAAGGCGUUAAGGUUAAUAACCUUGGCGAUUGACGUUACCCGCAGAAGAAGCACCGGCUAACUCCGUGCCAGCAGCCGCGGUAAUACGGAGGGUGCAAGCGUUAAUCGGAAUUACUGGGCGUAAAGCGCACGCAGGCGGUCUGUCAAGUCGGAUGUGAAAUCCCCGGGCUCAACCGGGGAACUGCAUUCGAAACUGGGAGGCUAGAGUCUUGUAGAGGGGGGUAGAAUUCCAGGUGUAGCGGUGAAAUGCGUAGAGAUCUGGAGGAAUACCGGUGGCGAAGGCGGCCCCCUGGACAAAGACUGACGCUCAGGUGCGAAAGCGUGGGGAGCAAACAGGAUUAGAUACCCGGGUAGUC